CAGAAAGCUGUCUCCUGUAAGAACUAGAAGUUGAGCCAAGGUAUAGCUAACCUACAAUAGCAGAUGGUGAAAACCAGGGCAGGAGGAGGACUCCUGAAGCGUCCGAAGGAAGGAAAUCAUUAUAGGGCCCUACAGAAGUAGGUCAGGUGCUACAGCUGCUCAUAGUUUAAGAGGAAGAAACAUCGGACCUCAAACCUGGAAUACAACUCUUUCAAAAUGUUUGUGAGCAGCCCAAGAAAAACAUCCUCUGAGCCUUAUCUAAUAAGCGUGAUCUCUAAUCGUCUCAGUGUGUGCUCUGGUUCCCUUAGCACUUUGCACCUACUUGCCUGAGCUCAGAAAGACCAGCAGAACACAGAAAGAACUAAUGAAGGGGAUUUAAUAGUUUGUGUUAAAGUUAAUAUGGUCCAUUAGGAGCUGUCAUUUUUAUAAACAAUGAAGAUAUGUGACCCCCUUUCUUUGGUGUAAAGUCACUCCAUGCAGGACCUGUAAACACAGUCAUGAUGGGUGGACUACGCAUGAGCGACACAAUUAAAGCAGUGCUUGGAAAGUUGAGUUCCUCUCACAUAUUUGGUUUCUUGCUAAAUAAACUUGGAAAGAUCA
Molecule: non-coding RNA, 600 nt
Organism: Castor canadensis (American beaver)
Lineage: Eukaryota; Metazoa; Chordata; Mammalia; Rodentia; Castoridae
Source: RefSeq, a predicted model, not a curated record